Molecule: ribosomal RNA, 102 nt
Filed under: Saimiri boliviensis boliviensis (Bolivian squirrel monkey)
Lineage: Eukaryota; Metazoa; Chordata; Mammalia; Primates; Cebidae
Source: RNAcentral
AUCUACGGCCAUACCAGCCUGAAUGCGCCCAAUCCAUUUAGUAUAUGAAGUUAGGCAGGGUCUGGCUUCUGCAGUACAUACACCACAGGAACGUUGUGAAUA